Molecule: ribosomal RNA, 256 nt
Filed under: uncultured bacterium
Lineage: Bacteria
Description: partial 16S ribosomal RNA
Rfam family: Bacterial small subunit ribosomal RNA
Source: RNAcentral
UACGUAGGGUGCAAGCGUUUAAUCGGAAUUACUGGGCGUAAAGCGUGCGCAGGCGGUUUUUGUAAGUCUGUCGUGAAAGCCCCGGGCUCAACCUGGGAAUUGCGAUGGAGACUGCAAGGCUUGAAUCUGGCAGAGGGGGGUAGAAUUCCACGUGUAGCAGUGAAAUGCGUAGAGAUGUGGAGGAACACCGAUGGCGAAGGCAGCCCCCCUGGGUCAAGAUUGACGCUCAUGCACGAAAGCGUGGGGAGCAAACAGG